GGCUGCUGGCCCUCUGCAGACACCAGAGACCUUAGAGGUGGCUGAGAUCCCAUCUCUCAGGACUUGCCCUGUGGCUUUCUCUCAGCUGCAGCCACACAGGAUGCUCCUUUGGGUUUCAUCAGUUACAAGUGACAGAAGCUCACUUCAGGCUGGCUCAAGGGGGGCACAGUCCUAGCUCACACACAGGGUGUGCAGAGGUAGCUGCAGCGUUGGGCCCUCAGCCCUGCCUUACUCUCUGUCUCUCAACUCUGCUCUCUGCUCUGUUGGCUCAUUUUCAAGUCACAUGAUAACCUCCCCAGAGCUCUAAGCUCAACCCCAUUGCAAGGAAAGAGUCCUCUUUCCCCUUGAAGUCCCAAACAUGACACUCAAGGCUCAGCUUGGGCCACAGGCUCAUGCCUGCACCUGUCACAUUGGCCAAGGGAAUUGUGGUCAUGUGCCAUCCCCAGCAACCCUGCCCAAACAAUGGGGUGUUAUGGACUCUGCUGUCAUAGGAGGAGAUUCUGGGUAUCAGACAAUGGACAGAAGCCCACCGUCCCUCCCCGAGUCCACCCGGGAUAUACUCAGACCUCUGGGUUCAGGACAGUCUUCAUUUUCUUAUCACUGAACGAUGCUUCUGGGUCAUACAACACGGAGGAAGUGCUGUUCCCAUGUGUAACCUUUACUCUCUCUCAUUUUCCAGGGACCCCUGGGUCUGGAUGGCAAGCCCGUAAGUGACAAGGCAACUCUAGGUGAUCCUGGGACAAGGCUGCCCCUGCAGAGUUGGGAGUGACCAUGGGGCAUCUGAGGGAAGGGGCCACUGGAAACCUGGUUCAGCCAAAGAGAAGCCACUGGGUG
Molecule: long non-coding RNA, 834 nt
Filed under: Marmota monax (woodchuck)
Lineage: Eukaryota; Metazoa; Chordata; Mammalia; Rodentia; Sciuridae
Source: RNAcentral